This 414-nucleotide ribosomal RNA is filed under the name uncultured bacterium. RNAcentral describes it as "bacterial SSU rRNA". It matches the Rfam family "Bacterial small subunit ribosomal RNA", at positions 355 to 766 of the family's 1533-position model. The record is from RNAcentral.
UGAGGAAUAUUGGUCAAUGGGCGCAAGCCUGAACCAGCCAUCCCGCGUGCAGGAAGACGGCCCUAUGGGUUGUAAACUGCUUUUCCAGGGGGAGAAUUUUUCUGUCGUGACAGGAAUUGACGGUACCCUGGGAAUAAGCAUCGGCUAACUCCGUGCCAGCAGCCGCGGUAAUACGGAGGAUGCGAGCGUUAUCCGGAUUUAUUGGGUUUAAAGGGUGCGUAGGCGGAUUGAUAAGUCAGUGGUGAAAACCUGCAGCUUAACUGUAGACUUGCCGUUGAUACUGUCAGUCUUGAGUGUGGUCAAGGUAGGCGGAAUGUGUAAUGUAGCGGUGAAAUGCUUAGAUAUUACACAGAACACCGAUUGCGAAUGCAGCUUACUGGGCCAUUACUGACGCUGAUGCACGAAAGCGUGGGG